RNAcentral lists this long non-coding RNA (2564 nucleotides) under Toxoplasma gondii VEG. The record is from RNAcentral. Lineage: Eukaryota; Apicomplexa; Conoidasida; Eucoccidiorida; Sarcocystidae.
AACUCAGACUGCUCCGGACAGUGGCGAACCUGCCAAGGAUUUCCAGUCACAUGAAAGCCAAGAGGAGCAGUAGCCGUUGCAGGCAGAUGAAGGAAUCAAUUUUUUUUAUGGCUCGCUCUCUCGCUGCCCAUGAACCGGGAGGUAGUUAGGUUGAAACAUACCCGACGAGCAACUAGAAGUUUGGUUCUUCUACCCUGUAUGUGGCUGGGGCACGGGACAGAUGUUCUUCGCUUUUUUUCUUGUGACUAUUUGACAUUACAUAAUAAUGCCCCUGUGUUUGAUGGGUUUCUUUCAAUGUGAUACAUUUGUUUGCAAGGAGACGCCGAUCGCAGUUAGUCGGGCUCCAGUACCCUAUAUUCGGUCUUAUCAGGGGAGUACGAUAAAUAUGACACACCAUUAAACGUGUCUUUCACUGAAUAUCGCUUAAAGGAGUUCGUGGUUUCCUUUCGUAGUUCAGUCCUGCAGAAUCUGGAAGGGAAUCAUGGAGUCGACGAUAAUUUAUUUAGUUGACGUGGUGCGUAACGUUGCUUUGCCCGACCUCGUAAACGUGAAUAGUAGCUACAAUGACAUGAGUGCACAGUUGAAACCGUGCCACUUGGUUGGUUUCUAUUCCUCGCUCCCUCAUAGUUAUGACUGUUUGCGUUGCGAGGUACUGCAUAUUUCAUCAUGUAGCCUUUAUUUUUGUUUUUACUUCAGUAUGUUGCUGAGGAGUUCACUGUGUUUUCCAUAACAUGUGCAACGUCGUACCACUUUGUCGCCUGGUGAUGAACUGGCAACCGGGGACAGAUGAUACCACAGGCAGCAGUAUUUGGCAGUCCUUGGGAGGACGAGGUGUAGAUUAUCACUAGUCCCCUUUGUGAUUAUGGUGACACGAGAUUUUCCCCUCUUUGAAGCUCUGAGUAUAGCGUGAUUUGCGGGGUGUGUCUCUGGUUGCUGAAGAUGGGUUGUCCAUUCGAACGUGAAGCUCGAUAAUGUUUGGCGUUAUGAAGCUUGAAAAAAAGAAACAUAACUCCUCAUUAUGUCAUGCGCAAGGAUUGUUCUGCAACCUGUGUGCAAGGGACGGAUUGUUGCAGGACAUGAUGUACGACAUUGUUUUUCGUAUUCCAUGUCUAAAGGCGUGUCAUUUGAGUCACAUUCCUGCACCAAACCUCCAAUGACAGGCGCUGUGCUUUGGAGAGUACGCAAGGAUUUGAAUCGCUCUACCUGUUGGUAGAUAUCUUUUCUUGUUUUCCGUUUUGUCACAGCACCGUAUCUGUCUCCCGGGCAGCGCAAACAAGCAUCAGCUUUCUGCUAGUAUGAUGUUUUCUGGCAUAGGCUUUCAAAGAUAUGGUAAUGGUAAACUGCACGAUGAGACGUUGCUCCCUAGAGGAAGUAUGCAAACCCAUACAGCAGCCAAAGCGUUCGCAAAUAAAUUUCAUUGCAUGACAAGCCCCACGCUCGUCAGCGCAUUUGCCGAAUAUUCUUGGGAGAGUCCCAUUUUUUGAUGUUUUCUGGAAACACGUGCUACCUCUUAACACCCCAGCAAGUUUUCUUACUGAAACCAAGGGAGCGAGAAGCCUUGCAGCGGAAUGCGGCUUGCCAUAUCUACUCGAGGGUCGUUGCGAGGAAGGGGAUUGUGCUGUGAGAGUAGCGGCAGAGAUGUGGCCUGUGGUGAUGUUUCCCCUCUCAACGGUAGGUUGGUCGAUGUAAUGUUUUUGCAGCGCGGGGAAACACUGCUGGUGAGGCAAUGUGAUUGAAGGCGAUCUUACAUCGACGUCAGUAAUUCCUGACAAGUUGGGAACGCUUUUAAAAAGAUGCGGGCGUCUUCACGCCGUUGCUGUCUCCCCUGCUCUAUCGUUUCCAUGCUCAGCCUGAGGAUGUAGGUUGCGAGAGAUCUGAUGUUGAUUCCAAAGUGGGGAUAGGAAGCUGGAAAAAUCGUGCUCCGGCUUUACAGUGCAGGGUGACAGACCUGAAGCACGACACCACGUCACUGCGUCAGACACGUGUCAGCCACCGCGCUUUUGGCGUUAAAGUCGAUGUAGUUUGAUGGCUCAGUUGGUUCACAACAGGUAAAUAGCUGACGGGGAUAAAUUUGUCUUGCAGUUGCCGUUCACGCAAGGAUGUGGUUGACUUCGCUGCGUAACGCGAGCCGGUGACAAAUUUGCGUGUCGUUAGCAGCACCAUGGGAGUGUGAUGCGCAUGGGGGGAGGUGUCAAAUAUCCAGUGCACCGUGAAGGGAAGCUUUGGAAUCGUGAGGUGUUCAGAUGUCAUUUCGGUUGUUACGCCAUCACACCACAAACACUAGCAAGUAUUGCGCGGAAACAAGGCGAGUCACGCAUUUCGCUGGGACUGCGUGUAGCAGGCGGGACUGUACUGAGCGGUGCAUGUGAUACCACAGAGGCUCGAGAUGAAUCUUUUUUUCGAGUGGAGAAUCAUCGCAUUCCGUAAGCGCUGGCCUGAACCGAUGCGGAACUUGCGACUGUUAGAAGAUGGUCUAUCCAGCGAUGGAAUCAUAUACUUGGGGUUUUUCGUUUUAUUUGAUGACUGGGAAAUGUGCAGUUCUUUUUGUUUCUUCUGUAGGACGC